UACGUAGGGUGCGAGCGUUGUCCGGAUUUAUUGGGCGUAAAGAGCUCGUAGGCGGCUCGUCACGUCGGAUGUGAAAACUCGGGGCUUAACUCCGAGCCUGCAUUCGAUACGGGCGGGCUAGAAUUCGGUAGGGGAGACUGGGACUCCUGGUGUAGCGGUGAAAUGCGCAGAUAUCAGGAGGAACACCGAUGGCGAAGGCAGGUCUCUGGGCCGAUAUUGACGCUGAGGAGCGAAAGCGUGGGGAGCGAACAGG
Molecule: ribosomal RNA, 253 nt
Filed under: uncultured Actinomycetales bacterium
Lineage: Bacteria; Bacillati; Actinomycetota; Actinomycetes; Actinomycetales
Description: partial 16S ribosomal RNA
Rfam family: Bacterial small subunit ribosomal RNA
Source: RNAcentral